This 253-nucleotide ribosomal RNA is filed under the name uncultured bacterium. RNAcentral describes it as "partial 16S ribosomal RNA". It matches the Rfam family "Bacterial small subunit ribosomal RNA", at positions 524 to 776 of the family's 1533-position model. The record is from RNAcentral.
UACGAAGGGGGCUAGCGUUGUUCGGAAUUACUGGGCGUAAAGCGCACGUAGGCGGACUACUAAGUCAGGGGUGAAAUCCCGGGGCUCAACCCCGGAACUGCCUUUGAUACUGAUAGUCUCGAGUCCGGAAGAGGUGAGUGGAAUUCCGAGUGUAGAGGUGAAAUUCGUAGAUAUUCGGAGGAACACCAGUGGCGAAGGCGGCUCACUGGUCCGGUACUGACGCUGAGGUGCGAAAGCUAGGGGAGCAAACGGG